GGGGGGGGGGGAGUCCUCUCUAUGCAACCACAAUCGGGAAUUUAAAUAUGAUUCUCAUUUUUGUCACCAAACUUUGAAAUUGGUUGAAGUAGACAGAAUAUAUUAGUAUGAAAGCUUCCUUCCUAAGUUUUUCCUGGUCAAGCUAGGAGAAACUCUAGUCUGGGACAGAAGCUGGAGGACACAGCUCACUCUUACCUACCUGCUAAUGUUGUAGGCUACCUAGCGCUGGGCAUAAAUAAAUACAUUAAUUCUAAGCUAAUUGAUCCUGUCCCAUUGGAAGACACUAUGACUCCCAUUAUGUAUUUCUCAUUUAAAUUUGUUCUCAAAAUAAUAUGAACAUAGCUUUCAAUCACAUGUGAUUUAUAUCAAUCUGAAUAUUGGUAUGUUUAUACCAACCACAUGAGAUUUAUACCAAUCUCAAUGUUGACA
Molecule: long non-coding RNA, 429 nt
Filed under: Bos taurus (domestic cattle)
Lineage: Eukaryota; Metazoa; Chordata; Mammalia; Artiodactyla; Bovidae
Description: long non-coding RNA NONBTAT024431
Source: RNAcentral